This is a long non-coding RNA of Cyprinodon tularosa, 634 nucleotides long. RefSeq lists it as uncharacterized. The record is from RefSeq and is a predicted model, not a curated record. Lineage: Eukaryota; Metazoa; Chordata; Actinopteri; Cyprinodontiformes; Cyprinodontidae. The transcript has 3 exons.
CUCCUCUACAGGGCAGUCCUGAGUGGCAUCUUGGCCGCUGCUGGAAUAGGCACUGCGAGAGGGUGGAAGGCGCGACCGGUGCUCCUCACCACUCAGCCUGGCGCUGCCGUUGGCCAGGCGUCCCAGACUCCCUCUCUCCUGGUAAGGCACGAAUGUGGAGAGCUUGGGGGGAUUCCUGGUCUUACGCACAGGGGAGGGAUGGCCUGGCAUCCAGCAGGCAUCUGAGUGACCCAAUUCACUGCACUCAGUUGUGCAGUUUCCGGUCAUCGCCACAUCAGGGAGAGAGCGGAUAUCUGUGGAAAGAAAGUUCUGUAAGUGCUGCAUACACCUGAAAAUACCUAAAAAGGAAGAAAGAAAAAAAAGACUACCAUUGAGUCUGCUGCAAGAAAGGAACGAUGAAGAAAAGAAGGAAGGAAAGAAGAAGGGACUUCAUAAUUCACACAAUCACCAAAGGAAGUUAAAUGAGGAUUAACGAAGAACAGAAUGAAGGAAUGAGAAUAGAGACCAAAGGAAUGACAGUGGGAAGAAUGGAAAGAGAAGGACUUGAGGAAGACAGAAGAAAAAGAGGCAAAAACAAACAAAAGGAGGAAGCGACCUACAAGAAGGUACGAGCGAAGAGAACAUGGAGGAAUUG